GUUGUGUUGACCUAAACCGUUUGCCAAGGAAGGGGAGGUGAUCUUUCCUGCAUGCUUCCUUGCCCUGCAGUCGUGCAGAACAUCGAUGGAGGGCAGGUGGCAGCCAAUGACCCUCUCAGCAGACCGGACAAUCCGUUGCAGUGAUGGAAGAGAUGGUCACAUGCAGUUGGACACAUGGAGGAGAGAAUCAUUUUCGCAGUAUCUUCAAAACCUUGUCUUUUUGACAACUGCUGACAGCUACAGGGACAUAAACACAAAAAAUGCUCUUUGGAGACAAGUGUCCAUGAUAGUAGGAUUGCCAGAAGAAGACUGUAGGAGGAAGUGGAGAGGACUCAGGGACAGGUAUCAGAGAGAGAAGGGCAGAGAAAGAGAAGAAGAGGUCUGGUUCAGCAGCUUGGCGCUUCUGCCACAUUCUUUCUUUUCUGGAUCCGUUUAUUGUGCCUAGGGCAACAAGUGGACAUUUUACAGCCAGACCCUCUACUACGUCAUCCACAAGUGUUGUCGCCACCGGUGCAUCCAUGACGUCCAGGGGCCAUUUGUUUCUUUAGCUGUGUUAUGGCUACAUAUUAUUUUCUUUUUUUCAGAGACAGAGAAA
This 595-nucleotide long non-coding RNA is filed under the name Salmo salar (Atlantic salmon). RNAcentral describes it as "lncRNA (ENSSSAG00000081777.1)". The record is from RNAcentral. Lineage: Eukaryota; Metazoa; Chordata; Actinopteri; Salmoniformes; Salmonidae.